This 327-nucleotide ribosomal RNA is filed under the name uncultured eukaryote. Its description in RNAcentral is "partial 18S ribosomal RNA". It matches the Rfam family "Eukaryotic small subunit ribosomal RNA", at positions 1470 to 1796 of the family's 1831-position model. The record is from RNAcentral.
CCCUUAGAUGUUCUGGGCCGCACGCGCGCUACACUGACGAAGUCAGCGAGCAUCUCCUUCGCCGAAAGGUGCGGGGAAUCUUGUGAAACUUUGUCGUGCUGGGGAUUGAUUUUUGAAAUUCUUGAUCAUCAACGAGGAAUUCCUAGUAAGCGCAAGUCAGCAGCUUGCGUUGAUUACGUCCCUGCCCUUUGUACACACCGCCCGUCGCACCUACCGAUUGAAUGACUCGGUGAAAAAUUGGGACCGUGAGUCUGUUUGCUUCAUUGCGAGUGGAUUGAUGGGAACUUUUUUAAACCUCGCCAUUUAGAGGAAGGUGAAGUCGUAACA